GGAUGGGUGGCAGAGUGGUCUAUUGCACCGGUCUUGAAAACCGGAGGGGCGCAAGCCUCCGUGGGUUCGAAUCCUACCCCAUCCGCCA
This 88-nucleotide transfer RNA is filed under the name Paramagnetospirillum magneticum AMB-1. RNAcentral's name for it is "tRNA-Ser (TGA) (tRNA-Ser-TGA-1-1)". It matches the Rfam family "tRNA". Rfam says of the family: Transfer RNA (tRNA) molecules are approximately 80 nucleotides in length. Their secondary structure includes four short double-helical elements and three loops (D, anti-codon, and T loops). The record is from RNAcentral. RNAcentral also lists the same sequence under 4 other names. Lineage: Bacteria; Pseudomonadati; Pseudomonadota; Alphaproteobacteria; Rhodospirillales; Magnetospirillaceae.